GAGGAAUAUUGGUCAAUGGACGAGAGUCUGAACCAGCCAAGUAGCGUGAAGGAUGACUGCCCUAUGGGUUGUAAACUUCUUUUAUACGGGAAUAAAGUUAGCCACGUGUGGCUUUUUGUAUGUACCGUAUGAAUAAGGAUCGGCUAACUCCGUGCCAGCAGCCGCGGUAAUACGGAGGAUCCGAGCGUUAUCCGGAUUUAUUGGGUUUAAAGGGAGCGUAGGCGGGUUGUUAAGUCAGUUGUGAAAGUUUGCGGCUCAACCGUAAAAUUGCAGUUGAUACUGGCGACCUUGAGUGCAACAGAGGUAGGCGGAAUUCGUGGUGUAGCGGUGAAAUGCUUAGAUAUCACGAAGAACUCCGAUUGCGAAGGCAGCUUACUGGAUUGUAACUGACGCUGAUGCUCGAAAGUGUGGGUAUCAAACAGGAUUAGAUACCCUGGUAGUCCACACAGUAAACGAUGAAUACUCGCUGUUGGCGAUAUACGGUCAGCGGCCAAGCGAAAGCAUUAAGUAUUCCACCUGGGGAGUACGCCGGCAACGGUGAAACUCAAAGGAAUUGACGGGGGCCCGCACAAGCGGAGGAACAUGUGGUUUAAUUCGAUGAUACGCGAGGAACCUUACCCGGGCUUAAAUUGCAACUGACUGAACCGGAAACGGUUCUUUCUUCGGACAGUUGUGAAGGUGCUGCAUGGUUGUCGUCAGCUCGUGCCGUGAGGUGUCGGCUUAAGUGCCAUAACGAGCGCAACCCUUAUCGAUAGUUACUAGCAGGUCAUGCUGAGGACUCUAUUGAGACUGCCGUCGUAAGAUGUGAGGAAGGUGGGGAUGACGUCAAAUCAGCACGGCCCUUACGUCCGGGGCUACACACGUGUUACAAUGGGGGGUACAGAAGGCAGCUACACGGCGACGUGGUGCUAAUCCCGAAAGCCUCUCUCAGUUCGGAUUGGAGUCUGCAACCCGACUCCAUGAAGCGGGAUUCGCUAGUAAUCGCGCAUCAGCCACGGCGCGGUGAAUACGUUCCCG
Molecule: ribosomal RNA, 1017 nt
Filed under: uncultured organism
Description: bacterial SSU rRNA
Rfam family: Bacterial small subunit ribosomal RNA
Source: RNAcentral